AAGCCAUUCGGGCUCAUGCCAUUUGAGCGAGUC
Molecule: non-coding RNA, 33 nt
Filed under: Prorocentrum micans
Lineage: Eukaryota; Dinophyceae; Prorocentrales; Prorocentraceae
Source: RNAcentral